CUUGGUCAUUUAGAGGAAGUAAAGUCGUAACAAGGUUUCCGUAGUGAACCUGCGGAAGGAUCAUUA
RNAcentral lists this ribosomal RNA (66 nucleotides) under Rhizoctonia sp. 263. RNAcentral's name for it is "partial 18S ribosomal RNA". It matches the Rfam family "Eukaryotic small subunit ribosomal RNA", at positions 1764 to 1831 of the family's 1831-position model. Lineage: Eukaryota; Fungi; Basidiomycota; Agaricomycetes; Cantharellales; Ceratobasidiaceae. The record is from RNAcentral.